This 1339-nucleotide long non-coding RNA is filed under the name Anas platyrhynchos platyrhynchos (common mallard). Its description in RNAcentral is "lncRNA (ENSAPLG00000020339.1)". Lineage: Eukaryota; Metazoa; Chordata; Aves; Anseriformes; Anatidae. The record is from RNAcentral.
AUGUUCAAGGCGCGUAAAGGAGCUUCUCCGAGCCUCUCCAUCUCUCCACCGCCAGCCUCUGGGCUCAGCCCUGCGGCGGAGCUCAAGGCGGUGUCCAGCCGGCGGGGUACCCCUGCCGGGGGGGGGAGGAACAAUUUCCUCGGGUUGUCUCAGGCCGGGAAAUCGGGUUUCAAUCCGAUUUUUCCCGCUUUCCCGGCGGCUGCGAGGUCCCGCAGCUCCCGAGUCGGCUUCUGGGGGCUGUUCCAACCCGGACCCAUAUCUACCUUGCUUUCGUCUGCGUGGAAAUGUCACGCUCACAGCGAGGGCCAGGCUUACAGGGGAAGCCCACAGCAGGUUUUCAGGGGAUGUGGAGCGGCAGAGGAAGGGCGUGAAAGUGUCACGGAGCCCGGCUCCCACGCGUGUGCCUGCGGUGGCAGCGUCGAACGAGCUGUUUGCAUGGAAAGAAAAUGGGAAAAAGAAAAAAUGAAAGAAAAAAAAGAAAAAAAAAAGAAAAAAGGAAAAAGGAAACCCAAGUAUCAAUAAACAGGAUCUGCCCGACGCGGUGCCGGGCGGGUGUGUGCGGGUUUCUGCUCCCCAUGGCUCCUUCUCGCCGGGAUUUUGGGAAGGGAGAACGGAAAGGGCCGGGAGGAAGCGGUGCUCAUCGUACCGACGGGCUGAGGUUGCCGCUUUUGCUUUCCAGGGAUGAGGGAGACCUUUCUUGGGGGCUCCCCAAAACCCGGCGGUGGAAGCGAGAUCUCGCCCUGACGAAAACCCCUCGCUAGGCGGGCGCGAAGAGGUGUGCAGUGACCUCCCGCUGAUUUGGCGUUGCUUUGGGGCUUUCUUGGUUUUGCUUUGUUUUGUUUGUUAGUUUGUUUUGCCAGAGCAAACGCAAAAGAGGGGGAAAAAAUGAAAAAAAAAAGCGCUUCCAAGAGACGGGAUGCAACAGAGGGCGAGGGGCAGCGAAAUGGCUCUGCCGUGCCACACUGCCAAACAGCUGCGUUUGCUGCGGAGAAAAGCAGCUCCCGCAAUUAGAGCCAAGCAGCACCUCAAUGAAUGGGGUCCGCAGAGGGCUUGUACCUCGUCCCGCCUCGCGACCCCGGAUCCCCGCGUGUCCCUGCUCGUCCCUGGCCGGGAGGGGGGUGCCGAGGCCGAGCCCCUUGGGCUGCCCACGGGAGGGGGUCGGGGGGAUGCUCUGCACGUACCGACCAUGGUCAUUUCCCUACCGGAGGCAGAGAGAGGGCAAAAGCAAGAAAAUUAAGGUUCUCGUGGGGCAGAGGGAAAGCUUGCCCGAGGAAAAAUAGCCGCUUUCUCUCCCUCGUGGAUGGCCCCCGUUUAAAAUAAAACAAAACGAAGCCCCCCA